CAGAAAUGAAGAACUUAUCUUCUUAGGACA
RNAcentral lists this transfer RNA (30 nucleotides) under Apodemus uralensis (pygmy field mouse). Its description in RNAcentral is "partial tRNA-Thr". The record is from RNAcentral. Lineage: Eukaryota; Metazoa; Chordata; Mammalia; Rodentia; Muridae.